Molecule: ribosomal RNA, 301 nt
Filed under: uncultured bacterium
Lineage: Bacteria
Description: partial 16S ribosomal RNA
Rfam family: Bacterial small subunit ribosomal RNA
Source: RNAcentral
CAGUAGCCGCGGUAAUACGUAGGGGGCAAGCGUUAUCCGGAGUUACUGGGUGUAAAGGGAGCGUAGACGGUUAAACAAGUCUGAAGUGAAAUGCCGGGGCUCAACCCCGGAGCUGCUUUGGGAACUGUAGAACUGGAGUGUCGGAGGGGUAAGCGGAAUUCCCAGUGUAGCGGUGAAAUGCGUAGAUAUUGGGAGGAACACCGGCGGCGAAGGCGGCUUACUGGACGACAACUGACGUUGAGGCUCGAAGGCGUGGGUAGCAAACAGGAUUAGAUACCCCUGUAGUCCCUGUCUCUUAUAC